Molecule: long non-coding RNA, 4742 nt
Organism: Cebus imitator (Panamanian white-faced capuchin)
Lineage: Eukaryota; Metazoa; Chordata; Mammalia; Primates; Cebidae
Exons: 4
Source: RefSeq, a predicted model, not a curated record
CUUUACGGCACUUUACGACUAGCGGGAGGAGGACGGGCUCGCGGACUCCUGGGCUGCGGAGACCCAGGGGCGAAAGUUCAACUAGGUGUCUCCCUGGUGAAGCGUCACAUUGGCAAAUCCAGCAGUGAGUGUCCUGAUUUCCCAACAAGAUUUAAAAAAAUAAUUUCAGAUAGAUUAAUACUAAAAUGACAGUGCCAAAAAGGAUGAUUAAGUAGUCCAAAGAAGAUUUGGAGUCAUUCAUUACAUUUGUGUUGUAGUAGUUUCCUGCCUCACUAUAGCUCUGAUGCAGCUGAAGUGUUUUGUACUUGGCUGAAAACUGUUCUCCCAAAAUUCAUGCCCAUCAGGAAUCUGUAAAUGUGACCUUACUUGGAAAUAGGGUCUUUGUAGGUGUAAUCCAAUUAAGAUGAGGUCACACUGGAUUAGAGUGGACCGUAAAUCCAAUGACUGGUAUCAUAAAAAGAAGAGGGAAAUUUGGACAUACUGACACACAGGGCGAAAGUGGCCAUGUGAAGAAGGAAUCUAAGAUAGGAGUGAUGCCCAGCUCUAAGCCAUGGGAUGCCAGGGAUUGCCUGAGACCACUGGAAACAAGAAGAGGCAAGGAAGGAUUCUUCCAGAGCUGUUGGAAGGAGCAUGGCCCUGUAGACACCUUGAUUUCAGGCUUCUGUACCCUGGAACUGCGAGAGAAUAAUUUUCUGUUGUUUUAAGCCACUUGGUUUGUGGUAAUUUGUUACUAGAAAACUAGUACAAAAUUCAUAGUCCCUUCAUGUUCCUCAUUUUCCUUGGUUUAAGGAAGGCUUAACCAUACCUUUUAAAUUUUAUUUUUAUGUAUUUUAAAGACAGGGUCUUGCUAUAUUGGCCAGCUUGUCUUGAACUCUUUGCCUCAAACAAUCCUCCUGCCUCAGUCUCCCAAAGUGUUGGGACUACACAUCCCCUGUACCUUUCAUAAUAAAAUUCUUGCAUCAAAUUUUAAGAGUCCACCAAGAUCUUCGUGAGCUCUUUUCCCUCCUCUUUCACUUUACCGAAGGCUUAAUCCAAAACCCUUUGCCCUUCUCUUCAUUUUUUCUCCCAUUGUGACCACUCCCAUUCUUGUGAUUUUAAUCACCACUUCUAUGUUAACUUAUAAAGCUGAAUUUCCAACUUUAACUUCUCUUUUAACCUGUAAAUCCUAUAUUUUCAGUAACUGUAAUAUAUAUAUAUAUAUUUUUGCAACACACACUGGGACCAUUUAUUUAAAAAUCAAACAGAAUUUCAUUUAUAUUUGUCACAUACUCAGUCAGGGCUGGAAAAUGGCUGAUGAGACUGGUCAGUUAGGCAAGCGCUAGUCCCAGUUCCAGAUCCAGUAUUCUGGUGAGCUUCUGAGGGAUCUGAGACAGCGAAAAACACAGACCACCCAGCACCACACGUCGCUGUAGCUAACAGGUUGAACUGGAUCUCUUCUUUUCCCUCCAGCCUGCCUACCCCAAGCAAUGCCUCUCAACCCUUUAACUGAAGGCAGUAACAAUAACAUUAACUUUGGCCUCGUUUUCUCUCCCUAUUUUGACCUAUUCUUAAGUGGAUAUUCUAGGGAAUAAAGAAAUAGCCAAAAGCAAAAAAUCAUGAGUGCUUUUCAGAGAGGAAGAGAUCCUGGGAAAUCUAUGGACACAGUAAAGGUGCCUUUCAUAUUGGGAGUAGUAACUAUAAUUUUUAAUUCUGUAUUUUAAAGAAUGUUAUAGGCAUUUUUCUAGCAAGAGCCACAUUGCCACUUAACCCGGGUGCUGAAGACUUUACAUACAUAUUAAAUAUUUGCAAAAACCUUAUGAGGCCAAACUUUAUAUUCCCCAAUUUAAAGAUGAGAAAGUUGUGUAAGGCACUGAAUGGUAAAAUCACUUGCCAAAGUUCCAACAGUCAGUAAGUAGUGGAUACAAACCCACAACAGUGUGUUUUAAGCACAUAGGCAAACUAGACCUCUUUGAGAAUUUGGUGAAAACUAUGGUCGUUCACCACAGAAAUAAUAUAAAAAGUUUUCUAUGAAAUAUUAGAAAGUUCUUACAUUUUAGAAGUCUACUUAUGGAUCCCAGGUUAAGAACACUUGUACUGGAUUAGCUGGGUGUCAUAGCACAUGCCAGUAGUUUUAGCUAUUUAGGAGACUGAAAUGGAAGAUCACUUGAACCAGGAGUUCAAGACUGCAGUGAGCUAUGAUUAUACCACUGCACUCCAGCCUGGGCAAUAGAGCAAGACCUUGUCUCUAAAGAAAAACAAAAAUUAAACAAAACCUAUCUUUUUUGUAAUGAUCUGAGUCACAAUAAAUAUACUAGUAAUAAGAAAAACAUAGCUAGAUUCAAUAGUCUGAUUUUUUUCAUCAAUUUGGUUCUCUAGGAAAGUGUAACUUAUUUUAGCAAAUUAGUAGAUCUUUAUUAAAAAGAAAAUAGUGAACAUCAUGCUCAUUCAUUUAACACAAAUGUAAUGAAUGACUCCAAAUCUAGAAGAGAAGACCAAACAUGUAUACCAAAAAUUACAAUAUGAUUUAACAGUUACGACAAGAACAAUAAUCUUUGUGAACUGUGCAGAAUAAUAUGAAAGAAAAGUACUGUGUUGAAUGCAGAUAUCAGGUAAAAAAUUAUUAUAAUCAGGUAAAUAUAAAAUCCAUGCAGGAGAUGAAUAGGGAGAUUCUAACCUAAGGCAAUGGAAGUGGUGAGAAAGGAUUAAAUCCAAGGCUUAAUAAGGGGGAAAAUGCCAUCUGAGUUUAGAGGCUGAUUAAAUCAAGAUGAAAGAGAAAAAGGAAUGAAAAACAGCUCAGAGAUGUCUACAUAGGAUGAUUAGGUGUAGAGAUGCCAUUAACUGGGAUUAGAAAUAAGGAGAGAAAGGAGUGAGGUGGGGAGAAAAAAACAUUUUAUUUGGACAUGUGAUAAGUUGUUAUGGAGAUAGAGAUUCAGAAAUAGAUAUAUAAACACAGGUAUUAUAUAGUUAUAAAACCUAAGCAUAUUUUUAGGCAAAAGUGGGUGAUAAAGAGGGAAGGUUAUCAAGUAUAAUUGUCGGGGGGUUAGUUGGAUAGAAGACUGGAUACCUAUUCCUCUGAGAUAAGAGGACAGACUGUAUUCUGCAGUUCCAGUAACAGUUCAAGAAACAAAUGACUAUUAAUUAUAUAUUAUUAAAAAUAGUAUCCACUUUAGUAUUUGUCUGAUUUUAAAUUGUAGAUGUCAGUUACAUAUUUAUCCAAGAGAUCCUUUAUUUUCAAAAGCAAAUCCUAAAAGCUUAUAAUUAAAAUUGACUAUAGCCUACAUGUUGGAAUCCAGAGUGGAUUUGUUAAUUUUCUUACAGAAAGUAUUUUAGGCCCACCAAGGAACUUAGUCUAGAAUAGUUAGAGCCUAUAAUUUCACACUCUUUCAAAGUAAGCAUACAAAAAAAUAGUUCUUUUAAUCAAAGUACGUAAGUGAUUAAAUCCUAGUCGAUUGCAAAAUGUGUGUUUCUGUGAUAUCAUAUGUUUUUCAAAGCUUCCUUAGCAUGGUAAAAUUCAUCAUGACAUCAUCGUUUGUGAGAAUCUUCAUGAGGGUGAGGACAGCCUAAAUAAGUGAAGUUUCCUGAUAAUGAAAUGGCUUUGUUUCUAUGGGUCUUGAUUUAGUUUUAUUUGUUUAUUCAAAUCAAUGAAUAAAUAUACAUCCGUAGAGACAAUAUAUUCAGAUUGUACAUGUAUAUUUAAAACCUUCCUUUCCAACUUUAUUUUACAGAUUUGUUCAACUUCAUUUAAAUCACUAGAAUAUAAUUAAACACUGCCUUCUAAACUGGAGAAAAUAGGCUGUUCUCACAUGGUUGGGCUUACUUAAAUAACAAUAGCUUUAAAUAAAACUAGAAUAUGUUUCUUGAGAUACUGUAUGGCUCGAUUUUAUAUUAAAAUUCAAAACAUUGACAUUUACAGUUGUAAGGGACCAUAGAGGUUAUCAAUUUGUGCCCCUUUUUGGAUCAAGAAAUAAUAGUUCAGAGCAGUUCAGUAGGUUACCCAGAGCCAAGAAGAAUUAUAUAGUGGAUCCUCUAUACCAAGCUCUGUUCUAAACAUUUUCCAUACAUUUUAUAUAUUACCUUAAUUCUUAAAUUCACAAUUUUACAGAUGAAAAAAUAAAUACUCAGAGGUGAAGUCACCCAAAAACCCUCACCUAGUAAGUGAUGGCCCUGGGAUUUCAACCCAGGUAUUCUUCCUUAGAGUCAGUGCACUUAACUCUGCUCCCAGUUUCUACAAACGGCAGUGUUGAGACCCUGAAACCGUGUAACCUUCUGAUAUGGCUAGCCUUUUUGUCCCCACCCAAAUCUCAUCUGGAAUUGGACUUUUAAUUUUCAAAUGUGUUUAAGACUUUGGGGGACGAUUGGGAAGGCAUGAUUGGUUUUAAAAUGUAUAAAGAACAUGAGAUUUUGGAGGAGCCAGAAGUGGAAUGAUACAUGGUUUUGCUGUGUCCCCACCCAGAUCUUAUCUUGAAUUGUAAUCCUCAUAAUCCCCACUUAUCUAGGGAGAGGUCUUGGUGCGAGGUGAUUGGAUUGUGAGAGUGGCUUCUCUCAUGCUGUUCUUGUGAUAGUGAAUGAGUUCUCAUGAGAUCUGAUGGUUUUAAAGAAUCUGGUAUUUUCCCUGCUCAUGCACUUCUCUCUUCUUCCACUAACUGAGGAAGGUCCUUACUUCCCCUUUGCCUUCCGCCAUGAUUGUAAGUUUCCUGAGGCCUCCCUAGCCAUGUGGAACUGUGAGUCAAGUCUCUUUCCUUUGUAAAUUACUAAGUCUCAGG